UACGUAGGGUGCAAGCGUUAAUCGGAAUUACUGGGCGUAAAGCGUGCGCAGGCGGUUGUGUAAGACAGAUGUGAAAUCCCCGGGCUCAACCUGGGAACUGCAUUUGUGACUGCACGGCUCGAGUGCGGCAGAGGGGGAUGGAAUUCCGCGUGUAGCAGUGAAAUGCGUAGAUAUGCGGAGGAACACCGGAUGGCCGAAGGCAAUCCCCUGGGCCUGCACUGACGCU
RNAcentral lists this ribosomal RNA (226 nucleotides) under uncultured bacterium. RNAcentral's name for it is "partial 16S ribosomal RNA". It matches the Rfam family "Bacterial small subunit ribosomal RNA", at positions 524 to 747 of the family's 1533-position model. The record is from RNAcentral.